AUAUUGGUCACAAGUUCCGUUGUUACCAAUAGAGUUUAAUGGAACUUACCACCGCAGUUAGAUAACGAUGCUAUUGGGAAAUGCUCCCCUGUUCAUGCAUAACAACCACAAACACAGAACGAUGAUAGGCUCACCUGAGAUGACAAAUGCCUUGCUUUAGAUAUGAGAGCACUAGUGUAGCCAGAAAUGUUUAAGUGUGUGGGCCUGCAUAAAACUGGUUGGGCCAGGUGUGUAGCAUAUGAAAACUGCAUGUCAAAUUGCCAACAAAAAAUACAGCACCAAGGUUCUUUACACAGUACUUCUAAAGCAUGCAUUAACAUUAGGAGUUUGUUAUGUUAAUGUUCAUUUCAAAAUUUACUAAUAGGACAUUAUUAAAAUUAAAAGUUAACAUUUAAAAGGUUAAUGUGCAAAAGGCGAUAGAGAGAGUGUCAGAGCGCUGUCCUUCAAGGCAGAAUGGGGACUUUUAUUAUGAAACGCGCCUAUAGCUGAUAGCCGGAAGAGACGCUGUUCAUUACUAGGAGAUCGGCAGACUGCCUCCACCACUGCUCGUGAUCGGGUUUUCUGCAUAAACCAGUGUUAGAGACGUGCAUCGUAGUUAAUAUCAGCCACAUUUUGAUUGUAUAUUGUGUUGUGUGCGCCCUAUAAGUGUGAGUACAAAUAAUCCUGCAACGUUAACGUAUGCUUGGUUUUAUCAGUGAUGACGCAGUUAUUAGCUGUUCAGUGUUGCAUGAUAAUGCUAUUAUCUACGUGCUAUUCUUGUAACACAUCUGUUGAUUUACAAUGUUUGGAGUUAUAAUGUUUAUAAUGCUAUAAGUAAUUUAGAUAAAUAAUAGUGGAUGCACUGUUAUACGAAGUGUUUAUACAUCAUUACUGUUAGAGGGGAGCAGCCUAUAGUUGUGUACGAAUAAUAAUACUUGUAAUGGUGGUUUUAUUAGAAUAUUGCUCUGUUUCUUUCAGAGAAACCACACCUUCCACCAUAAUCAUACAUUUCAUGCUUCCACUGAUAGCAACCCAUGUAUGUUCACCAGAAGUGGUCCCAGAGCCCAUACUGAGCAGAGAGUAUUUCCUCUGGAUGUUUCCAAGGAGGCCUCUUUGUCUCUAUCACGUACACCACUUCACGUCCACUGCAGUCCUCAAGUUUAUCUGCCCACAUCCUGUUAGUAGAAACGGACUGAUGUGCAUGUAAAGGCUGACUCCCCUCUCUGAUUCGAUCAUAGUGCAUCUGGGAAAAUAAAACUGUUCCAACUGCUACUUCCCUCUGUGGUGUUCUGACCGACACGCCUGGUUCACUGCGAUUUGAGCUAGCCCUAACAGUAUAAGGUAGCCAUUCACUAUAAUUAACAUUUGCCUGAGCUGGUUAACAAAGAUGAAUAAACACGGUAACAAAUGUAUUGCAAAUGUUAGUUAAUGCAUUAACUAACGUUAACUAAAGGAAGUUUAUUAAAAAGCAUUACCUCAGUGUGAAACAACGGCUUUGCAGAUGAUUUUAUAAUCGAACGUCUCUUGUCAGUUGUAAACAUAACAUUGUGGGUGGGACUAAAAGAAACGGACGAAUCAUAGUUUUGACAAGCAUAUGAUGAUACGCAGGGCCAUAUGCAGGAUUUUAUAAACACCGAGGUCCCAAAAUGGAGAUUGUUAGGGGUAUUCGGGGGCAUGCUCCCCUGAGGAAAUUUUGGUUUUCCUGACUUACAUGUGUGCAUUUUAAGAUGUUUUAAGGAUCAUAAAUUGGAUAAUAAUAUAGGUUUAAAACCAAGUCAGUGGGCAGUAGUUGUAUAAGUUAUUUUCAAGAUAACAGAUUCUUAAACAUGAGAAUCAGAUUAAAUGUUGCAAUGCAUGAUCCAUGCUACAAACUGGAAAUAGAGAAGAUAUCGUUUGUUUAUGAAUUUAAUAAACUCAAGUUAUAAUUAUCCUGGUAGCCUUCAGUAAAAUAGAGUGUCUAAAAUGAUUAAACAUGAAUAUUAUAAUUUUUUUAAAAUAUUUUUAAUUCACACUUACAGAAAUCUGUUCUAAUAAGUUUAAAUUGAUUUUUAUAUUUUAUGGGCAUUUUUAUGUUUAUUAAGCCAUUUUUUCUAAAAUUGUCCAUAGAGGUCGACCGAUAGUGGAUUUUACCGAUAGCUAGGUUGGACCACACUGGCCGAUACCGAUUAAUCAACCGAUAGUUUUCAAAAUGGAUACUGAAAGAGAGCUAGUGCUAUACUAUUUAAAAAAAAAAAAAAAAAAAAAAAAAAGCAGCAACAGUACUGAACCAUACUUUGUAAAUGAAUAAAAAUAUUAAUAUUAUUUACUAUAUUGAUCAUUAAAGUUAUUUCAUAAUCUGCUAAUGUUAAAAGAAGAAACUUUAAAAUGUAAAAAUAUAGCCUAUGAGUAGCUAAUAGUGAAUGUUGAAAUGAAAACACUCUAACAAGGAACAAUACUUCUACAGUUUUCAUUAAUGCUACGAAUGGACUUAUUGUUAAAUGUUACCAUUUAAUUUCAACAGUCAUGCUUAAAGAUGGCCAUGUUUAAAUAUCUACACAAGGCCACAGCAUUAAAAUUACAUACAUAUGGAUAUUGUAUGUGUACUCACACACUUUAUUUGCUUCUAUUUUUUAACACUUGAUAAUUAUCUAAUCAAAAAAAAAAAGCGGAGCGCUGCGUCUAGGAGAACUCAGAGGUAUCACGCACACACACACACCAGACGCUUUGCGUUCAAAUCAAGUGGCAGUCUAAAACAAUUUAUUUAAAUCACCAAACGGACAUAAGUUUGCUUUAAGAAUGAACAAUGUGGCAUAAAUGAGUUUGAAGUUCGGUGUUUAAAAAAACAGAGCAAGUGGAAAGAGAACGCGCGAUCUAUUACAGCUCUCUACAUGAAGCAUACCGACUUUAUUAGAGCCACAGAAAGACAAACGUUUUGCUGAAAAAUGCACAAUACAUAAUUUAUAGUCUAGGGUGAAGUCAUUAUAUACAUUCACAAUGAUUUGGGACAAAUAUAAUGUAAUUUAAUCGAAAACUAUGUGAAUGGCGCUCUGUUUCGCGGCAGGCUUUUCUGUCGGCUGCAUUUAAAUGCGCAUCUGGAGUUUCCCGCUCUGUGCCGCGCGCAGUGUCACGUGUCAAAAUAAACAACACGUGCUGUCAGUGAUUUCCGCCUCUAGAGGCCGCUCUAUUUAUUAUUAUUAUUUAUAGUUGUGGCAACCAACUAUCGUUGCCGAUUAAUCGGCAAAACCGAUGAAUCGGCAAAACCGAUGAAUCGGUCGAUCUCUAAUUGUCCAUUUGUCUUUUGAGUCAAAUUCUUACAUUUAAUCAGUGAAUUAGAAUAAUAAGACAUUUGGGCUGUUAUCAAGCAAAGAAAAUCAAAUCAACUCAGAAGCUGCGUCUGAAGUGGCAUUUAGAUGCAUUUACACACUGUUUAAUGCAAGACAUGAAUGCAUUUAACUGCAAUUACAAAUGCAUAAAUAAUGUUUUGAUAUAUUAAAAAUAAAAGGUUAAAUACUGAUAUUUGAAAUGAUUUAAAACAUGAAAAAAAUCGAAAUGUGAAAUUAAAACCACCAAAAGGUGGCAGCAAAUCACUGUUAAUAAGUGAGUCAUUGCGAUCGAACCGAAUCAUUUAAACGGUUGAUUCAUUCAGGAACGAAUCACUGUCAUGUUGCUCAGAAAUGCAAAACUGUGGUUGUGUUUGGAAUUAUUUUUGUUGGUGAAAUAGAGCAAAAACAGGCAAUAUGGUGUCUAAAACGUAAGUCCUCUUAAUGAACUUUUUGUUUAUUGAGCUGUUGUAAAAAAAUCCAUAUCACAUUUGUAAUUAUGGUAAUUUUUGGAGAAAAAUGGCACUCUUCGUGUGAAAUUGAUUAACUAUAUGAAGUGGUAUAAAUAUAUACAUUUUCUGCCCCAUGUCUUGAAUUUGUGAUCAUUUUAAAUGCAUUUUAAUAGACUGAAUCAUGCAGUGAAAGAACGCACUCUAAAUGCGCAGAGACCGCACUCUAGUCUAGACUUCACAUAAUGUAUGCGUGCGCUCUGUAGGGGUGUUUUGAAUGGUUUUUGCAAAAUACUCGAUCAUGUCAAAUCGCACAUCGACAACAACAAUUACGAUAUUAUUGCAGACUAUAUAUCGCACACCCCUACUGCUGAGGCAUCUCAGAUGAAAAGAUCUGUUACCUUGGCUUUUUAUCCUUGCAGCACCAAAGCAGAAUUAAUAUAAGGUCAUUAUUUUACAACUUCUGUUAUUGGAAAAAUACAGAGGUCCGGACCUCAAUGGUGGGUCCGGCCCUGAUGAUAUGCACCUAUACUUACUUACUUACUCCUCUUCAUCCCCUAUGAGACAUAAGGCUUCAAUGAGCACUCUCCAUUGCAUUCGGUCCCUGGCAGCAUGUUGGGCCUCUCCCCAUGACAGGUUCAUCUGUUCCAGCUCUUGUGUCACAGUUCUGCGCCAGGUGGUUUUAGGCCUCCCAGGUUUUCUUUUACCAGGUGGUGUCCAUCUUAAGGCGAUUUUUGUGAUGCGGUCCUGCUCCAUCCUCAACACAUAUCCUAGCCAUCUCAGGCGUCUGUGCAUAAUCUCCUUGGUGAUGCUCCAACUUCCCGUUUUCUUGUACAGUUCAUUGUUGGAGAUCUUAUUAGGCCAAAAUAUCUGGCAUAUUCAUCUGAGGCAUCCAUUAUGGAACACUUCCAUUCUCCUCAUGUCUGUUUUGACAGCAGAACCGUACAGCAGAACGGACUUUACAUUGCUGUUAUAUAGGAGCAUCUUCGUUUUAAGACUGUAUUGUUUUGAUCUCCAGAUAGACCAGAGUUGGGAGAAGGCACCCUGAGCCUUUCCCAGCCUUGUUUUAAUAUCUUUAGAUGCCCCGCUGUCCUUACUGAUGAGACUGCCCAGAUAGGUGAAAUCUUCCACAAACUCAAGUGGUUCAUCAUUAACAAGUAUGGGUGCUGUGGGGAUGGAGUUGACACACAUCACUUGUGUUUUGGAGGUGUUGAUACUGAGCCCAACUUGUAUGGCAAAGUUGUUCAGCCUAUCAGUCUUAGCCUGCAUGUUGUACUAGUUGGUUGAUAGGAGAGCAAGAUCGUCAGCGAAGUCAAGAUCUUCCAGCUGGGAGAACAGAUUCCACUGGAUGCCUCUGGAUCUGUCUGCUGUGGUGUUGGUUGUGAUCCAGUCUAUGGCGACCAGGAAUAGGAUAGGGGAGAUGAUGCACCCCUGUCUCACUCCCGACUGCACGGGAAACCACUCAGAGAGGAGUGCAGUAUCUUCCAGAGGGUGUUUCGGUGGACACUGUCGAAGGCCUUCCUGAAGUCCACGAAAUUGAUGUAGAGGGGUGUAUUCCAUUCCAAGCAUUGCUCUAUGAUAUUACGCAGAGCAAAGAUCUGGUCCAUUCAUCCUCUUCCCUUCCUGAAGCCUGCUUGCUCCUGUCUAAUCCUGGUGUCAAUGGCUGUCUCUCCAUCCGGUUAAGAAGGACUCUGCAGAACACCUUGCUUGGAAUAGAUAGAAGAGUAAUUCCACGGCAGAUGUCGCAGUUCUUAAUGUUGCCUUUCUUAGGGAUUUUGACAAUAAGACCUUUGGACCAGUCCAGUCCAGCCAACACUGAGAUCAUUCCGCACGUGCACACGCUUGAGUGACUUCGCGGGAGAAACAGCGCCGCCAUCUUUGUCAAGUUCACGAGUUAGGGUGUGGCCCAAGGUUUCAUUGGUGCUUUGUCAUCACUGCAAGAUUUCAGAUGCAACCCAGUCAGUUCUUCCAAGGCACCAAACACCAGACCGCUCCACUGCAACUACAUACUGUGUGUACCUUCAAGACUAGGAGUUUAAUGUUUUCAUUCCAGGUAAUGUGUGUAAAUGUUUAGAGUGUUUUCUAAAAUUAAAAUGUGCUUUAUUGUUCUCAGUGGCAUCUACGCUAAUAUUAGUCUGUUUCAUUCUUAUUCCGAGGUCACCAUAGCCACCCAGAUCCAGUCCGUAUCCAGAUAAGAUGGUGGAUCAGCACCUAGAGACGACCUCUACAGCCCUGAAUGUCAGCGGAGACCAUGUCAGCUAGAUGAGCUCCAGAGACGGAUCCCCAGUGAAGACCUCGUUGGCCAUCAGGACAAGACAACGAGAACCAGACAAGUCCUCUGCUCAAUCUGACCUGUGCAGGAAUUAAACCAUGCCAUGCUGGUUUCAUCUGGUCAGAGGAGAACUGCCCCUCGACUGAGCCUGGUUUCUCCCAAGGUUUUCUACUCCAUUUCUGUCACCUAUGGAGUUUUGGGUCCUCGCCGCUGUCGCCUUUGGCUUGCUUAUUUGGGGACGCUUGGCUGAUUGCAUAGACACUAUUGGAAGAGAGCUGAACUGAAUGAUGAUUUCAUUGAAUCAUCAAUGAACUGACUUUAACUGGAAAAAUGACUUCUUAAUGUCGUCUUGCAUUAUUAACAAACUAUUUUCCUGUUUGACUGUAAAGCUGCUUUGAUGCGAUCAGUAUUGUAUGAAGUGCAUUAUAAAUAAAGGUGACUUGACUUGAUUUUAUAUACUGUAACACCUGGUUCAUUUUUUUUUUUUUUUGUGACAUCUGCCUCAUUUUAAAGAUGUAAUUGUGAACAGUAGAAAUAUUUGUAAAUGUUUGUUUGUUAACAUUUUGUUUAGCUUGUUUAGGUUUUUCUUAGUUCAUUAAAGUUUAAACUGAAUUUUGCAGUUGUAUUACAGAUGUAAGGUUUGUCAGCUGGAGCUUUAAAGGGAUAGUUCACCCAAAAGUGAAAAUUUGCUGUUCAUUUACUGACCCUUAGGCCAUCCGAGAUGUAGGUGACUUUUUUUUCUUUAAGCCUGUAUGUUUAGUCUGUAUGACAAAUGGUAUAAAUGGAGACUGUUAUUAAAUAAUGGCUAUUAUGUGUUGUAAAUUGUGUGUUUUUAGUGAUUGAUAAACACCAGUUAAUCAUUUUUAAUAAUUUUGUUAAACUAUAAGAAUAUAUGUUUUAGUUCCCCCGCAAUUUCUUAUGAUGCCCAAAUAAUAAAUCUUAGUUGAGGUAACAUAUAAAACACAUGGAGUAAAGUGUUACAUUUUAAUUGACAUAACUUGCUGUAGUCUUCUAAAUGCUUGACCAAUUAAAACAUUUUAUUUGAAUGGACUAUAAAACUACUUUUUAGAGUGUAGACAGUGUCUGUUCCCUGAAUACUGAGGACAAAUGAUAUGCUUACUAAGGGAUAUAGAAUAAAAUCAGUUUGCGAUUUAACCAAAUUAUAGCAAAGUAAGCUAAAUAAUGUCACAAAACUCUGGACUAUUGAUAGUACCCAGAAUAUCCAGUAAAUGUAGUGUCCAGUAAAGGAGGCAGAGAUUUUUUGUAUUUUUGUAUCAAAUAGCCUUCUGAUAUUGUUUGGGGCUCAGACGCACUCUCUCUCUGUUUAAAUCUAGAUUAAAAAUACAUCUUUUAGCCAAGCAUUCACACAACACAUCUCAUAACCUUGUACUCUAGUAAUAAAUGCACAAUCAUUCUUCUCCUUUUGUUUUCCUGUUUCUAUG
Long non-coding RNA from Onychostoma macrolepis, 7441 nucleotides. RefSeq lists it as uncharacterized. The transcript is spliced from 3 exons. Lineage: Eukaryota; Metazoa; Chordata; Actinopteri; Cypriniformes; Cyprinidae. The record is from RefSeq and is a predicted model, not a curated record.